UGGGGAAUUUUGGACAAUGGGCGCAAGCCUGAUCCAGCCAUGCCGCGUGUCUGAAGAAGGCCUUCGGGUUGUAAAGGACUUUUGUCAGGGAAGAAAAGGCUGUUGCUAAUAUCGACAGCUGAUGACGGUACCUGAAGAAUAAGCACCGGCUAACUACGUGCCAGCAGCCGCGGUAAUACGUAGGGUGCGAGCGUUAAUCGGAAUUACUGGGCGUAAAGCGAGCGCAGACGGUUACUUAAGCAGGAUGUGAAAUCCCCGGGCUCAACCUGGGAACUGCGUUCUGAACUGGGUGACUAGAGUGUGUCAGAGGGAGGUAGAAUUCCACGUGUAGCAGUGAAAUGCGUAGAGAUGUGGAGGAAUACCGAUGGCGAAGGCAGCCUCCUGGGAUAACACUGACGUUCAUGCUCGAAAGCGUGGGUAGCAAACAGGAUUAGAUACCCUGGUAGUCCACGCCCUAAACGAUGUCAAUUAGCUGUUGGGCAACUUGAUUGCUUAGUAGCGUAGCUAACGCGUGAAAUUGACCGCCUGGGGAAUACGGUCGCAAGAUUA
Molecule: ribosomal RNA, 549 nt
Filed under: uncultured bacterium
Lineage: Bacteria
Description: bacterial SSU rRNA
Rfam family: Bacterial small subunit ribosomal RNA
Source: RNAcentral